RNAcentral lists this ribosomal RNA (495 nucleotides) under uncultured bacterium. RNAcentral's name for it is "partial 16S ribosomal RNA". It matches the Rfam family "Bacterial small subunit ribosomal RNA", at positions 28 to 507 of the family's 1533-position model. The record is from RNAcentral.
GACGAACGCUGGCGGCGUGCCUAAUACAUGCAAGUAGAACGCUGAAGGAGGAGCUUGCUCUUCUGGAUGAGUUGCGAACGGGUGAGUAACGCGUAGGUAACCUGCCUGGUAGCGGGGGAUAACUAUUGGAAACGAUAGCUAAUACCGCAUAACAGUAGAUGUUGCAUGACAUUUACUUAAAAGGUGCAAUUGCAUCACUACCAGAUGGACCUGCGUUGUAUUAGCUAGUUGGUGGGGUAACGGCUCACCAAGGCGACGAUACAUAGCCGACCUGAGAGGGGGGUCGGCCACACUGGGACUGAGACACGGCCCAGACUCCUUCGGGAGGCAGCAGUAGGGAAUCUUCGGCAAUGGACGGAAGUCUGACCGAGCAACGCCGCGUGAGUACAGAAGGUUUUCGGAUCGUAAAGCUCUGUUGUAAGAGAAGAACGAGUGUGAGAGUGGAAAGUUCACACUGUGACGGUAUCUUACCAGAAAGGGACGGCUAACUACGUG